UUGCUACCUGAGACCAUAGCGGCGGACGGGUGAGUAAUGCUUAGGAAUCUGCCUAUUAGUGGGGGACAACAUCUCGAAAGGGAUGCUAAUACCGCAUACGUCCUACGGGAGAAAGCAGGGGAUCUUCGGACCUUGCGCUAAUAGAUGAGCCUAAGUCGGAUUAGCUAGUUGGUGGGGUAAAGGCCUACCAAGGCGACGAUCUGUAGCGGGUCUGAGAGGAUGAUCCGCCACACUGGGACUGAGACACGGCCCAGACUCCUACGGGAGGCAGCAGUGGGGAAUAUUGGACAAUGGGGGGAACCCUGAUCCAGCCAUGCCGCGUGUGUGAAGAAGGCCUUAUGGUUGUAAAGCACUUUAAGCGAGGAGGAGGCUACUUUAGUUAAUACCUAGAGAUAGUGGACGUUACUCGCAGAAUAAGCACCGGCUAACUCUGUGCCAGCAGCCGCGGUAAUACAGAGGGUGCGAGCGUUAAUCGGAUUUACUGGGCGUAAAGCGUGCGUAGGCGGCUUAUUAAGUCGGAUGUGAAAUCCCCGAGCUUAACUUGGGAAUUGCAUUCGAUACUGGUGAGCUAGAGUAUGGGAGAGGAUGGUAGAAUUCCAGGUGUAGCGGUGAAAUGCGUAGAGAUCUGGAGGAAUACCGAUGGCGAAGGCAGCCAUCUGGCCUAAUACUGACGCUGAGGUACGAAAGCAUGGGGAGCAAACAGGAUUAGAUACCCUGGUAGUCCAUGCCGUAAACGAUGUCUACUAGCCGUUGGGGCCUUUGAGGCUUUAGUGGCGCAGCUAACGCGAUAAGUAGACCGCCUGGGGAGUACGGUCGCAAGACUAAAACUCAAAUGAAUUGACGGGGGCCCGCACAAGCGGUGGAGCAUGUGGUUUAAUUCGAUGCAACGCGAAGAACCUUACCUGGGCCUUGACAUACUAGAAACUUUCCA
This 931-nucleotide ribosomal RNA is filed under the name Acinetobacter baumannii. Its description in RNAcentral is "bacterial SSU rRNA". It matches the Rfam family "Bacterial small subunit ribosomal RNA", at positions 76 to 1002 of the family's 1533-position model. Lineage: Bacteria; Pseudomonadati; Pseudomonadota; Gammaproteobacteria; Moraxellales; Moraxellaceae. The record is from RNAcentral.